This is a long non-coding RNA of Scylla paramamosain (green mud crab), 712 nucleotides long. RefSeq lists it as uncharacterized. Lineage: Eukaryota; Metazoa; Arthropoda; Malacostraca; Decapoda; Portunidae. The transcript has 8 exons. The record is from RefSeq and is a predicted model, not a curated record.
AGUCAAGCGAAAACCACCGCCGGUGUUAGAGGGAGGAUAUCCGAGCGGAAUGCGGUUUCUGCGUAGUCGGAAGCUGUACUAUUGGAGGGGGGCAAUAUUCAUGCGUCUUGUAAGACCUGUAUCUGGAAGAGUUUGAAGCUUCAGUGGACACAAGGCACUACCCCGGGACACGGGAUAGUUGGAAGAGCUUAAUUGCCUGGAGUAUACAAGGGUCCGGCAUCCCUCCAUUCCAGGCGUGGGUGGAGGGGAGAGGGAGAAGGAAACGUGGGGGCAGCUGGCGGAGAGGUGAGAACGUAACCUGCCACGGCCGCACGAUCUUAGUCAAGCGAAGACCAGCGCCGGUGGUGGAGGGAGGAUAUCCAAUGCGGUGUCUGCGUAGUCGGAAGCUGUACUAUUGAAGGGAGGCAAUAUUCAUGCGUUCUUGUAAGACCUGUAUCUGGAAGAGUUUGAAGCUUCAGUGGACACAAGGCACUACCCCGGGACACGGGAUAGUUGGAAGAGCUUAAUUGCCUGGAGUAUACAAGGGUCCGGCAUUCCUCCGUUCCCAGGCGUGGAUGGGCUGCCUUCUGAACUAGACAAUACGUGAGUGAGAGAGCCUGAUGUAAGACUGCUUGAGUGAAGAGGAAAUGACAUGUCUGCUCUGCUAAGGUGGUGCCAACUUCAGUAACCCUUCAACUAGUGCUAAAGGAGAGAAAUAAAUUGGAAAGUUUCA